This 468-nucleotide ribosomal RNA is filed under the name uncultured bacterium. Its description in RNAcentral is "partial 16S ribosomal RNA". It matches the Rfam family "Bacterial small subunit ribosomal RNA", at positions 28 to 507 of the family's 1533-position model. The record is from RNAcentral.
GACGAACGCUGGCGGCGUGCUUAACACAUGCAAGUCGAACGGAAAGGCCCUGCUUUUGUGGGGUGCUCAAGUGGCGAACGGGUGAGUAACACGUGAGUAACCUGCCCUUGACUUUGGGAUAACUUCAGGAAACUGGGGCUAAUACCGGAUAGGAGCUCCUGCUGCAUGGUGGGGGUUGGAAAGUUUCGGCGGUUGGGGAUGGACUCGCGGCUUAUCAGCUUGUUGGUGGGGUAGUGGCUUACCAAGGCUUUGACGGGUAGCCGGCCUGAGAGGGUGACCGGCCACAUUGGAACUGAGAUACGGCCCAGACUCCUACGGGAGGCAGCAGUGGGGAAUAUUGCACAAUGGGCGGAAGCCUAAUGCAGCAACGCCGCGUGCGGGAUGACGGCCUUCGGGUUGUAAACCGCUUUCGCCUGUGACGAAGCGUGAGUGACGGUAAUGGGUAAAGAAGCACCGGCUAACUACGUG